UGGAUUGGUGCCUUCGGGAACUCUGACACAGGUGCUGCAUGGCUGUCGUCAGCUCGUGUCGUGAGAUGUUGGGUUAAGUCCCGUAACGAGCGCAACCCUUGCCUUUAGUUGCCAGCAGUUCGGCUGGGCACUCUAAAGGGACUGCCGGUGUUAACCGGAGGAAGGUGGGGAUGACGUCAAGUCCUCAUGGCCUUUAUGACCAGGGCUACACACGUACUACAAUGGCCGAUACAAAGGGCAGCGACACUGCGAGGUGAAGCCAAUCCCGUAAAAUCGGUCUCAGUCCGGAUUGGAGUCUGCAACUCGACUCCAUGAAGUUGGAAUCGCUAGUAAUCGUGGAUCAGCAUGCCACGGUGAAUACGUUCCCGGGCCUU
RNAcentral lists this ribosomal RNA (374 nucleotides) under uncultured Desulfobulbus sp. Its description in RNAcentral is "bacterial SSU rRNA". It matches the Rfam family "Bacterial small subunit ribosomal RNA", at positions 1007 to 1382 of the family's 1533-position model. The record is from RNAcentral. Lineage: Bacteria; Pseudomonadati; Thermodesulfobacteriota; Desulfobulbia; Desulfobulbales; Desulfobulbaceae.